Non-coding RNA from Oncorhynchus mykiss (rainbow trout), 2948 nucleotides. The record is from RefSeq and is a predicted model, not a curated record. Lineage: Eukaryota; Metazoa; Chordata; Actinopteri; Salmoniformes; Salmonidae.
GGAAGUACAGUUUGCAGUGAAAAUAGAACGAAACAGAACCUCAAUGUUAAUUUGGUAGAACAUCAGCCGUUGGAGCAGCGUGCUAAGUGUCUGGCCGGCUCCCUCUGUCCUCUGGCCAGUGUUGGCCAUUUGCCCCUGGUGGAUGGCCCCUUCCUCCUCUGGCCAGGCUGUUCUCUGUCCCACAGGACCUCACACUGUUGUCGGACCUGCGGGCUUUCCUCUGUGGGUCUGGGAGUAAGCCUGACAGUGAAGGGCUGGCCUAUCGCCUGGCCAUGAUACCCUCUAUCUUCCUGCAGGUCUGCCCCUUUGGGACCCCCCUGGACAUCCCUCAGCCAGGGGCCUCAUCGGCAUCAGCAAUGCCCUCUCCUGCAAGGAUCCAGAAACACCAAGCCUAGAAAAAGGCUGCAGCAUGGUGGGGCUGUGGUGAAUGUAGCUCUUUCGGAGAUGGUACGCUCCAUGCAGUAUGGAAACUGCACAGUGUCUACAGUGAAUUGCAAGGGGUCCUUCCCAAUGCGACGGUCACUCUCUCGCUGCGACCCAAUGGCUCACCACUGCUGGAUGUCCUGGUCCAUCCUUGUGUGUCUUCACUGGAUGCCUCUGGCCCCUACAAGUUCCCCUUCUCCCAUUGGGUCUUUCAGGUCCCCGUGCCACCCAUCCUCCCUAUCAGCUGAAGGAGUAUGACAACCAGCUGCAUUUGACUGUGAGGAACAGCUUUGAGUACUGUGAGGCACAUCUGCCGUUCUUUAACGGGUAACCUAUGGACAUAUCAAAUCAAAUUGUUUUUGUCACCUGCACCAAAUACAACAGGUGUAGUAGACCUUACCGUGAAAUGCUUACUUACAAGCCCUUAACCAACAAUGCAGUUCAAUAAAUGGAGUUAAGAAAAUAUUUACUAAAUAAAGUCAAAUUCGAUUAAUUGUUCAGCAGUCUUAUGGCUUGUGGUAGAAGCUGUAAUGAGCCUUUUGAACCUAGACUUGGCUUUCCGGUAGCGCUUCCUCUAAACACAAUACAUAACAUCUCACAUUGAUGACGGGCUUCCUAAUGUCAACAUAGUAGCUUAUUACACAUAAUCAUCACUUUUUGUCGCUUGAAAUAGUGUUUCAGCUAUUUUUUUAAGAAACACAACUUCAAGUUAAAUUUAACCUCUGACCUAUGUGUCCCUGUAUGGACCAGAUGAGUAGUGUGGAUGUAAAGGUGAGCUCAGGACAGCUGGAGGUGUUCAAGGAGAACCUGCUGGUCUGGGUCCUCUGUAUGUCUCAUUGGUCUGGCGACAACAUUUACACUUUGCAAUGGCUCAGUUUAAGCCAUAUUACAUGUUCAAAUAGCUUUUGUGCCCUGGCACUCUUUAGGCCAGAAGUUCCCCAAGUCCAGUGAGGUGUCACUAGACAGCACUGAGUUUCUUAGGGCAGCUCCCAGGACCUACAGAUCCUCUCUGCACAGACCUUACAGUCUACAUCAAAGUAAGUCAGAAUCUUUCUAGACAAUGGAGAUGCAUCUAAAACCGAACAAACCAGAAACUUUUCAUUUAUGUUUUUCAGUUGAACUUUCGAGUGCCAGACUUGACUCUGUCUGGAUGUUGUGUAGCCCAGCAUUCAGUGCAGGUCUAUUCCUCUGCAAAACCUUGCAUAGUCACAUAUUUGGGUUCUAAUGCUGGUUUCAUUAUUAUGUAUGAAAAUAGGUGUAUUUGUGUGAAUUCUGAAUGCACACCCUCUCUCUCCUCUCUGCAGCAACUGGACAACAGGAUUCUGGUGACCAGGUUUGAAACGGACAGCAUCCAACAUUAUGAACCCAAUGGUCAAAGUACUGUAACUGAAUGGUUUGUUUCUGCUGUUGUUCUUACAGUCUCGGUCUCUUCUAAGAUGCAAAAUGCUGUUUCUCAUCUGUUCUGAACACAGACCAAUCCCUUUUUUGUGAAAGAAUGCGCCUUAUUAAAUAGAGAUAAUGGUUAUUUAACUGAAUUCUAGUAAAGAGUAGUACUACUGGAUAGGCAUAUUGAAAUUUAAAAAAUGGUAUUGAUGCUGCCAUUUUUGGAACAUGUUUGGGCUACCCACUCCACAUCUCUUUAGAGUGUUGCCACCCUUCGCUCUGACAGUCCCACUUCAGUCCCACCCCUCCAUUAGCCGGAUAAUUAGCAGCUGGGGCCUUGUUGUCAGCUGGAGCUGAGGGCCUGUGGGAGACGGGGCUUGGGCUGUGAAAGGGUAAGCUGAUCUGGGCAGAGUCUGUGCCACAAAGGGCCCCUCUGGAGAACUGGCAGGACUCACUGGUUCCUCCCUGUGACUGCCCUGCCUGUCAGCCAGUGGUCUCUUCAAAUACCCAGCCUCUCCACUGAACCGCCCUCUAAAAAGUUGAGGCCCCAGCUGGCCAGAUGACUGGCUAAUUGGAGAAACUGGGUGUGGUGGCAUUAAAUAUUACAUGACAAAAAUAGGUUUAGCGUAGUGGUCCGGAUUCAGGUCUUAAUUGCAAUUUGAUUAGAGUAGAGCUCAUCCAUGCAUGGCCAUGAUAAAAAAAACUGUAAUUGAAAAGAAAAUUCAUCGGCAUGUCUACAAAAUGUAACAAAAAAGAGAACGAAGCUGUUUACCAAGACAUACUAUAUGUAGACCCGGUUUUUAGCAAGGAAGGCACACUGAACAAAAAUAUAAACGCAAAUUAAUUUGGCCCUAAUCUAUGGAUUUCACAUGACUGGGCCUGGGAGGGCCCACCUGGGAGGGUCCACUCACUGGGGAGCCAGGCCCAGCCUAUAAGAAUACGUUUUAUCCCACAAAAGGGCUUUGUUACAGAAAGAAAUGCUCAUCAGUUUCAUCAGAUGUCCGGGUAGCUAGUCUCAGAUGAUCACGCAGGUCAAGAAGCCGGAUGUGGAGGUCCUGGGUUGUCAUGGUUACACGUGGUCUGUGCUUGUGAGGCCAGUUGGACGUACUGCCAAAUUCUCUAAAACGAUGUUGGAGGUGGCG